Molecule: unclassified non-coding RNA, 189 nt
Filed under: soil metagenome
Description: partial internal transcribed spacer 1
Source: RNAcentral
CCGAGUUUACAACUCCCAAACCCACUGUGAACAGUACCUAUAACUGUUGCCUCGGCGGAUCUAUGCCCCGGGCGUCGCAGCCCGGACAAAGGGACGGCCCGCCCGGAGGACAACCAACUCUAUAUACCCCUCGGGUUUUUUAUAAUCUGAGACUUCUCGGAGCUAUAGUAGGCGUAGACAAAUGAAUCA